AGAGGCAAACGCUUCAAUGGUCCCGCGCAAGCGGGUUAAUAGGGAACUCCGUCACGCACUGGUCAGACGACCGUCCAGGCGCAAAGUCGGAGGCUGCUCCCGCAACUGUAGGCGGUAUGCCGCUGGUUCGUUCGCUCUGAACGUGGACCACUGUUCCCAUAGGGGACGGGAAGGUUGGAACCGGUUGGCCAUGAUCCGUGAGCCAGGAGACCUGCCAUUGCUCAGCCACCAAC
RNAcentral lists this non-coding RNA (233 nucleotides) under Acetobacter tropicalis. Lineage: Bacteria; Pseudomonadati; Pseudomonadota; Alphaproteobacteria; Acetobacterales; Acetobacteraceae. The record is from RNAcentral.